GUGGGGAAUUUUGCGCAAUGGGGGAAACCCUGACGCAGCGACGCCGCGUGGAGGACGAAGGCCUUCGGGUUGUAAACUCCUUUUGGAGGGGACGAUAAUGACGGUACCCUUCGAAUAAGCCACGGCUAACUCUGUGCCAGCAGCCGCGGUAAGACAGAGGUGGCAAGCGUUGUUCGGAAUUACUGGGCUUAAAGGGCGCGUAGGCGGCAGCGCAAGUCCGAUGUGGAAGCCCGCGGCUUAACCGCGGAAUUGCAUUGGAAACUGCGUCGCUUGAGUCAGCGAGGGGAGGGCGGAAUUCCCGGUGUAGCAGUGAAAUGCGUAGAUAUCGGGAGGAAGGCCGGUGGCGAAGGCGGCCCUCUGGCGCUUGACUGACGCUGAGGCGCGAAAGCGUGGGGAGCAAACAGGAUUAGAUACCCGAGUAGUCC
Molecule: ribosomal RNA, 425 nt
Filed under: uncultured bacterium
Lineage: Bacteria
Description: bacterial SSU rRNA
Rfam family: Bacterial small subunit ribosomal RNA
Source: RNAcentral